GACGAACGCUGGCGGCGUGCUUAACACAUGCAAGUCGAACGGAAAGGCCCUGCUUUUGUGGGGUGCUCGAGUGGCGAACGGGUGAGUAACACGUGAGUAACCUGCCCUUGACUUUGGGAUAACUUCAGGAAACUGGGGCUAAUACCGGAUAGGAGCUCCUGCUGCAUGGUGGGGGUUGGAAAGUUUCGGCGGUUGGGGAUGGACUCGCGGCUUAUCAGCUUGUUGGAGGGGUAGUGGCUUACCAAGGCUUUGACGGGUAGCCGGCCUGAGAGGGUGACCGGCCACAUUGGGACUGAGAUACGGCCCAGACUCCUACGGGAGGCAGCAGUGGGGAAUAUUGCACAAUGGGCGGAAGCCUGAUGCAGCAACGCCGCGUGCGGGAUGACGGCCUUCGGGUUGUAAACCGCUUUCGCCUGUGACGAAGCGUGAGUGACGGUAAUGGGUAAAGAAGCACCGGCUAACUACGUGCCAGCAGCCGCGGUGAUACGUAGGGUGCGAGCGUUGUCCGGAUUUAUUGGGCGUAAAGGGCUCGUAGGUGGUUGAUCGCGUCGGAAGUGUAAUCUUGGGGCUUAACCCUGAGCGUGCUUUCGAUACGGGUUGACUUGAGGAAGGUAGGGGAGAAUGGAAUUCCUGGUGGAGCGGUGGAAUGCGCAGAUAUCAGGAGGAACACCAGUGGCGAAGGCGGUUCUCUGGGCCUUUCCUGACGCUGAGGAGCGAAAGCGUGGGGAGCGAACAGGCUUAGAUACCCUGGUAGUCCACGCUGUAAACGGUGGGUACUAGGUGUGGGGUCCAUUCCACGGGUUCCGUGCCGUAGCUAACGCUUUAAGUACCCCGCCUGGGGAGUACGGCCGCAAGGCUAAAACUCAAAGGAAUUGACGGGGCCCCGCACAAGCGGCGGAGCAUGCGGAUUAAUUCGAUGCAACGCGUAGAACCUUACCUGGGUUUGACAUGGAUCGGGAGUGCUCAGAGAUGGGUGUGCCUCUUUUGGGGUCGGUUCACAGGUGGUGCAUGCCUGUCGUCAGCUCGUGUCGUGAGAUGUUGGGUUAAGUCCCGCAACGAGCGCAACCCUUGUUCACUGUUGCCAGCACGUUAUGGUGGGGACUCAGUGGAGACCGCCGGGGUCAACUCGGAGGAAGGUGGGGAUGACGUCAAGUCAUCAUGCCCCUUAUGUCCAGGGCUUCACGCAUGCUACAAUGGCUGGUACAGAGAGUGGCGAGCCUGUGAGGGUGAGCGAAUCUCGGAAAGCCGGUCUCAGUUCGGAUUGGGGUCUGCAACUCGACCUCAUGAAGUCGGAGUCGCUAGUAAUCGCAGAUCAGCAACGCUGCGGUGAAUACGUUCCCGGG
This 1343-nucleotide ribosomal RNA is filed under the name uncultured bacterium. Its description in RNAcentral is "16S ribosomal RNA". It matches the Rfam family "Bacterial small subunit ribosomal RNA", at positions 28 to 1378 of the family's 1533-position model. The record is from RNAcentral.